RNAcentral lists this unclassified non-coding RNA (1146 nucleotides) under Hevea brasiliensis (rubber tree). Lineage: Eukaryota; Viridiplantae; Streptophyta; Magnoliopsida; Malpighiales; Euphorbiaceae. The record is from RNAcentral.
GGCAAAUGCAGUUUUUGAUUAUUUUGCAAAUACCAGCAUAGGUAGCUAAACCACAGUACAAAUUUUGAGAAUUUCGAAUUUUCAUCCAACCAAACAACAUAUUCUUGAAAUGAAGCAAAACUUGGUUCCAAAAAUGUAGGAAAACAGGAUUAAGGAACUAUUGAACAACCAACCACUUUCUCGGUAGAACCUUACAUGUUUUUGGGAUCAGCCUCACCAUCACCUGCUACUACUCCAGAGUCGUCUGUUUUAGUAACAUCCACGUCACCUGCUGCUACUGUAGAGUCUUCUGUUUUAGUAACAACUGUGUUACUCUCUUCUCCUGGGUUUUGCUGACCCUCCAUAGGUACAUGGUCACUUAUGGCUUCAGAGUCCAUUGUGGAAACGUCAGCCACUUGCACCUGUCCAUCAACGUCUUGAGGAGUUGUGUCAUGAGAGAUGGAGGCAGAAGUUUCCUCUGCAAUGGGGCACUGGCUAGUACCUGAGGGCUCCACAUGCACAUUAUCAGCUUCAAUAGAAGCAGAAUUUUCCUCUGCAUUAGAGCACUGGUUGGUACCUGAAGGCUCUACAUGCACAUCAGCUUCUAUUGGCACAUGAGAGGCAGAAGCAGAAUUUUCCUCUGUAUUGGAAUUCUGUCCGGUACCUGAAGGUUCCACAUCAUCAGCAGAUGGUACACUAUCUUUUUCUGCCAUUUCUGCCUUCGCCAACUCAAGAGCACGAUUUUUUGCUGCAACUUCUUCCUGCAUUUGAUCUUGUAUUCUAUACUCAUCCAUGAGAUGCUGGAUCUUUUGCGUAUCUGCUAUGAGGUCACCGUACCUUUUCUGUAAAGUACGCUCAAGCUCCUUUUGCUUCUGAACUUCUUCCCACAUAUUGUUGAUCCUGUGGGAUGCUGCUAGCUGCUCUUGUUUUUGUAAUGCUCGGAAGCAUUCAAGCUCUGUACCCGCUGUGUCCAUUUUCUUGAAGGUUGACUCUAUCUGUGACCAAAGCUUUCCAGCUCGCAUCUGAUAUCCAUUAGUAAGAACUUUGAUCUUUUGCUCAAGUUUUGUUGCUUUCUUAGUAUCAUCGUCCAUUUUUUUCUUCACAUUCUCAAACUCGUUCUGCAAAGCAGCAAGCUUUUCCAUGUUUCCAGCAACACUUGAGAGACCA